UCCGAAUUGGUGUAGUGGCUAACAUUUGACGCUCUCAAAAGGUUCCUGACCUUGAAGGUACCGUCAAGCCCGGGGUUCGAUUCCCCGAUUCGGAG
Molecule: non-coding RNA, 95 nt
Organism: Daldinia decipiens
Lineage: Eukaryota; Fungi; Ascomycota; Sordariomycetes; Xylariales; Hypoxylaceae
Source: the annotation of a RefSeq genome assembly